This 468-nucleotide ribosomal RNA is filed under the name uncultured bacterium. RNAcentral describes it as "partial 16S ribosomal RNA". It matches the Rfam family "Bacterial small subunit ribosomal RNA", at positions 28 to 507 of the family's 1533-position model. The record is from RNAcentral.
GACGAACGCUGGCGGCGUGCUUAACACAUGCAAGUCGAACGGAAAGGCCCUGCUUUUGUGGGGUGCUCGAGUGGCGAACGGGUGAGUAACACGUGAGUAACCUGCCCUUGACUUUGGGAUAACUUCAGGAAACUGGGGCUAAUACCGGAUAGGAGCUCCUGCUGCAUGGUGGGGGUUGGAAAGUUUCGGCGGUUGGGGAUGGACUCGCGGCUUAUCAGCUUGUUGGUGGGGUAGUGGCUUACCAAGGCUUUGACGGGUAGCCGGCCUGAGAGGGUGACCGGCCACAUUGGGACUGAGAGACGGCCCAGACUCCUACGGGAGGCGGCAGUGGGGAAUAUUGCACAAUGGGCGGAAGCCUGAUGCAGCAACGCCGCGUGCGGGAUGACGGCCUUCGGGUUGGAAACCGCUUUCGCCUGUGACGAAGCGUGAGUGACGGUAAUGGGUAAAGAAGCACCGGCUAACUACGUG